CCUACGGAGGCAGCAGUGAGGAAUAUUGGUCAACGGACGCAAGUCUGAACCAGCCAUGCCGCGUGCAGGAAGACGGCUCUAUGAGUUGUAAACCUCUUUUGUCAGGGAGCAAUUGGCGCUACGUGUAGCGUUAUCGAGAGUACCUGAAGAAAAAGCAUCGGCUAACUCCGUGCCAGCAGCCGCGGUAAUACGGAGGAUGCGAGCGUUAUCCGGAUUUAUUGGGUUUAAAGGGUGCGUAGGCGGAAUGCCAAGUCAGCGGUAAAAUCGCGGGGCUCAACCUCGCUCCGCCGUUGAAACUGGCGUUCUUGAGUGGGCGAGAAGUAUGCGGAAUGCGUGGUGUAGCGGUGAAAUGCAUAGAUAUCACGCAGAACUCCGAUUGCGAAGGCAGCAUACCGGCGCCCAACUGACGCUGAAGCACGAAAGCGUGGGUAUCGAACAGGAUUAGAUACCCUUGUAGUC
This 459-nucleotide ribosomal RNA is filed under the name uncultured bacterium. Its description in RNAcentral is "partial 16S ribosomal RNA". It matches the Rfam family "Bacterial small subunit ribosomal RNA", at positions 338 to 795 of the family's 1533-position model. The record is from RNAcentral.